Molecule: unclassified non-coding RNA, 1388 nt
Filed under: Camponotus floridanus (Florida carpenter ant)
Lineage: Eukaryota; Metazoa; Arthropoda; Insecta; Hymenoptera; Formicidae
Description: uncharacterized LOC105258195, transcript variant X1
Source: RNAcentral
GAGUUGAUGCUUCCUUCGUCUCUCAUGGCCGCAAACGUCACGAAGCCGUGUUAUUGUUGAGAUUAAAUCUCUAUCGAGUAGUAUUAAAUAUAAAAAAAUGCCAGGUACGCAGAGAUUAACAUCCUAUCGGCUGCCACGAGAUCUGACAUUAGGUGGUAGUGUUAAACCUGAAAAACCCAAAAAAGUAUAUGUACCGAAUCUUAAUGUACAGAGAACUAAAAAAAAAGAUGAAGCAACACCAGUUAAGAUUGAUGCUCCAAAACCAAAGGAUGUCACAGAUCGUGGAAGAGGACGAGGAAGAGGAAAUAACAGGCAUGGAAAAGACAAGGGAAACAUAAUACAAUCUGCUGGUAUAUGGUCGGAAGGAGUAUUUGCAGCACCUACUGUUAGCAGAAGAUCCUAUAGUAGUUCCAAUAGUAGCAAUAGUACAGGUGCUGAAAAAUAUCUGGAAAAAUCUAAACUAAAUACGAAGAAGAUUAUCAAUAAUGCGGAAGAAGAAGAAAAAUUAAAGAACCUAUUACACGAUGAUUUUAUGGACGAUGGUACAAAUGCUGAUAAGAUGGAUCCUAUUUCGCUACCAAGGGUUAUAAAAGAAGAAUUUAGUGAUGAAGAAAUUGAAAAAAAACCAAUCAUCUCAGAAAGUGGCGAAGUUAUAAAUAUAAAAGAAGAAACUUUAAGCGAAAAAAUUAAAAAAGAAGUUACCAUUUCUCAAAUAAUCGAAAAUAAAACUAACCCUUAUGUAUUAAUGCAGCUUCCAGAUUGUUGGCAAAAUUUAGAAUCCAAUAAAGAAGAAUCAAAGUCAGAAGGAUCAACUGACGCGAAUACUGGUAAAAAUGACGAUAAAACAAAAAGUGAAAGUAGUGGCUUGAAUAGCUUAAAAAGUGGUUUAUUAGGCAAAAUCGAAAUUUUGAAGUCUGGUAAAGCGAGAUUAUGUCUUGGCGAUAAACGUUUUUCCAUUGAUAUUAAUGUACAGCAAGAUUUUCAACAGGAGCUUUUGGCUGCAAAAGUGGAUACUGUGUCAUUAACUGGCGAUCUUAUCAAUCUUGGUUCUGUAAAUAAUCAAUUAAUUUGUUUGCCAGACGUGGAAAGUAUAUUGAAAAAUUCGUAAAUCUAUAAACGUAAUCUUUAAUAAAAGGUUCAUGUAAAAGGAUAUCGAGAACUGAAGGAUUUGUGAGCAAUGUGUAACGCAGAUUAUAAUUAGGGAAAACAUCUCCAGCGGCGAAAUUUGUUUCUCCAAUCUUCGGCGAUUCGUCCUUGGUAUCUUCCCUGAAAAUAAAAUGUAUAUACUCAUAGUAUCAAUAAUACUACUUAUAAAAUAUGGAGAAUAUUAUUGAUAAAGUAAAAUAAUUUUGCAACAUACUUAAUAGUUUGUUUAAUUUUAAUGGCUG